AUGCCGCCGCCGCCGCCGCACCCAAACGGGGGCAAAGUAACGCCGAACCUGGCCAUGGACGCCGAGGGCACGCGCCUGCUUAACCUCACCGUCCUGCAGCGCCUCGACCCCGCCGUCGAAGACAUCCUCAUCACCGCAGCGCACGUCACGCUCUACGACUUCAACAUCGACCUGAACCAGUGGAGCCGGAAGGACGUGGAGGGAUCGCUCUUCGUGGUGAAGAGGAACUCACAGCCGAGGUUCCAGUUCAUCGUCAUGAACAGGCGCAAUACGGAUAAUCUCGUGGAGGAUUUGUUGAGUGAUUUUGAAUAUGAACUCCAGCCUCCAUAUUUGUUGUAUCGGAAUGCCACACAGGAAGUAAAUGGCAUUUGGUUUUAUAACCAACAGGAGUGCGAAGCUGUUGCUAGUUUGUUUGGAAGGAUACUGAAUGCUUACGCGAAAGUGCCCCCAAAGCCGAAAGUGCCAUCUAUAAAAAGUGAGUUUGAGGAAUUAGAGGCUGUUCCUACAUCCUCUGCCAUAGAUGGUCCAUCAUCUACCGCUGUAGUUUCUGAUACCCCUGAUGAAUCGUUUGCCAGUUAUUUUAGUGGUGUUGCUAACGUUGGGAAUGUACCAACUGCACCAAAGACUGGAAGAGCUCACCCACCUGCUGAGUCUGUUGCAUCAUCCCACGUACCAAUGAUCAUUUCAUCUGCUGCUCCAACACAUCAGAUGAGUGCUUCAUCAGCUCCACCACUGCCCCUCCACACUAAUCCACAUGCUGGCCGCUCGACAGACCUUGUAACUCCUGCAUUCUUUGUGCCUCCGUCAUCCUCUUCCACAUCUUUGGUGCAACCGGUUUCAUCCUUGAUGCCUACAGCGCCACCUCUUCAUCCAACUUCCACAUCCAGCCAACGUCCACCAUAUGGUACCCCACUUCUUCAACCCUUUCCACCACCAACUCCGCCUGCAUCCCUUACCCCUGCACACAAUGAUGGACCUGUUAUUUCGAGGGAUAAAGUUAAGGAUGCCCUCCUGAGACUUGUUCAGAGUGACGAGUUCAUCGAUUUAAUCUACCGGGAGUUGCUGAAUGCUAGCUAG
Molecule: ribosomal RNA, 1077 nt
Filed under: Triticum aestivum (bread wheat)
Lineage: Eukaryota; Viridiplantae; Streptophyta; Magnoliopsida; Poales; Poaceae
Description: partial small subunit ribosomal RNA
Source: RNAcentral